GGMAAGAGCCCAGCACUGAAUCCCGCGGUUGUCACGGCCGCGGGAGAUGUGGUGUUCGGGAGGUUCCGCUUUCUCGUCGUCGCAUCUCCUGUCCAAGUUCGUCUUGAACGGGGCCGUUUUCCCGUAGAGGGUGCCAGGCCCGUAGCGACGGAGGGCGGCGGCGAGAGGGACUCUCCUCAGAGUCGGGUUGCUUGAGAGUGCAGCCCUAAGUGGGUGGUAAACUCCAUCUAAGGCUAAAUAUUACCGCGAGACCGAUAGCGAACAAGUACCG
Molecule: ribosomal RNA, 271 nt
Filed under: Blastobasis sprotundalis
Lineage: Eukaryota; Metazoa; Arthropoda; Insecta; Lepidoptera; Blastobasidae
Description: partial 28S ribosomal RNA
Rfam family: Eukaryotic large subunit ribosomal RNA
Source: RNAcentral